This 318-nucleotide non-coding RNA is filed under the name Tolypiocladia glomerulata. Lineage: Eukaryota; Rhodophyta; Florideophyceae; Ceramiales; Rhodomelaceae. The record is from RNAcentral.
GGGACUGAAAGGAUCUCUACAUGUUUAAUACAUUAAAUGCUUUUAAUAUGUUUAUUCUGUACAUAUAAUUUUUCAUUAAUUGCAAAACAUAAUAUUAUAGCUUUUUCUAGAGAUUUAGUUCAUGCAUAAAUCUCUGGAUAUUAAAUUAAAAUAGAAAUGAAAAAAUUUAUGUUUUUUUAUAACUGCCCUAAUUUAACAUACUGUUUUGUUAGCAAAGUAUUUAUCUAAGAGGAUUUAAAUCCAAAAGUAUUAUUAUAUUUUAGUUAGCAUUUAAUCUACUAAUAAGCAUGGACGUGGGUUCGAAUCCCACCAGUUCCA